Molecule: ribosomal RNA, 305 nt
Filed under: uncultured bacterium
Lineage: Bacteria
Description: bacterial SSU rRNA
Rfam family: Bacterial small subunit ribosomal RNA
Source: RNAcentral
UGACCUACGGGACGCAGCAGUGGGGAAUAUUGGGCAAUGGGCGCAAGCCUGACCCAGCAACGCCGCGUGAAGGAAGAAGGCUUUCGGGUUGUAAACUUCUUUUAAGAGGGACGAAGGAAGUGACGGUACCUCUUGAAUAAGCCACGGCUAACUACGUGCCAGCAGCCGCGGUAAUACGUAGGUGGCAAGCGUUAUCCGGAUUUAUUGGGUGUAAAGGGCGUGUAGGCGGGAGCGCAAGUCAGAUGUGAAAACUCGGGGCUCAACCCUGAGCCUGCAUUUGAAACUGCGUUUCUUGAGUGCUGGAG